Molecule: ribosomal RNA, 253 nt
Filed under: uncultured bacterium
Lineage: Bacteria
Description: partial 16S ribosomal RNA
Rfam family: Archaeal small subunit ribosomal RNA
Source: RNAcentral
UACCAGCACCCCGAGUGGUCGGGACGAUUAUUGGGCCUAAAGCAUCCGUAGCCGGCCUUACAAGUCCUCCGUUAAAUCCAGCUGCUUAACAGAUGGGCUGCGGAGGAUACUAGAAGACUAGGAGGCAGGAGAGGCAAGCGGUACUCAGUGGGUAGGGGUAAAAUGCGUUGAUCCAUUGAAGACCACCAGUGGCGAAGGCGGCUUGCCAGAAUGCGCUCGACGGUGAGGGAUGAAAGCUGGGGGAGCAAACCGG